Molecule: ribosomal RNA, 253 nt
Filed under: uncultured bacterium
Lineage: Bacteria
Description: partial 16S ribosomal RNA
Rfam family: Bacterial small subunit ribosomal RNA
Source: RNAcentral
UACGAAGGGUGCAAGCGUUAAUCGGAAUUACUGGGCGUAAAGCGUGCGCAGGCGGCUUCCCAAGUCAGUGGUGAAAGCCCGGAGCUCAACUCCGGAAUUGCCAUUGAAACUGUGGAGCUCGAGAACGAGAGAGGUGAGUGGAAUUCCCAGUGUAGAGGUGAAAUUCGUAGAUAUUGGGAAGAACACCAGUGGCGAAGGCGGCUCACUGGCUCGUAACUGACGCUCAUGCACGACAGCGUGGGGAUCAAACAGG